This 304-nucleotide ribosomal RNA is filed under the name uncultured bacterium. Its description in RNAcentral is "partial 16S ribosomal RNA". It matches the Rfam family "Bacterial small subunit ribosomal RNA", at positions 506 to 807 of the family's 1533-position model. The record is from RNAcentral.
CAGCAGCCGCCGCGGUAAUACGGAGGGUGCAAGCGUUAAUCGGAAUUACUGGGCGUAAAGGGCGCGUAGGCGGCGAUCAAAGUCAGGCGUGAAAUUCCUGGGCUCAACCUGGGGGCUGCGCUUGAUACUUGGUUGCUUGAGUGGGGAAGAGGGUCGUGGAAUUCCCAGUGUAGAGGUGAAAUUCGUAGAUAUUGGGAAGAACACCGGUGGCGAAGGCGGCGACCUGGUCCUUGACUGACGCUGAGGCGCGAAAGCGGGGGGAGCAAACAGGAUUAGAUACCCCCGUAGUCCCUGUCUCUUAUAC